AUGGGCAGCGAACCGCCGCCGCCGGCUGCGCCAGCAGCGAGACCUCCGUCCACCCCCGCUACCGCCGCCACCACCAGAGCGAAAAGGCACAACACCAUCUCUGCCGCCGCCGAUGGCACCACCACCACCCCCGCAACAGCAACAACAACCGCCACCGCCACCACCAUAUCCUCCCUCGGCCAAGACCUAUUCCUCGAGAUCUUCCUCCGCCUACCCAACCUGCCGGACGUCGUCCGUGCCGCGCUCACCUGCCGCUCCUGGCUCGGCGCCGUCCGCUCCUCCCCGUCCUUCCGCCGCCUCUUCCGCGCCCUUCACCCAGCGCCGCCCAUCGGGCUCUUCCUCGACAUCCAUGGCGCCGCCACCCCCUCCUUUGCAUCCCUUCGCCGUUCAGAUCCCGAUGUUGCCGCCGCCCUCCGUGGCGGCGACUUCUUCCUCACCUUCCUCCUAGUGAAUGACGACGCGUAUACAAGCUGGGGUAUCAUGGACUGUCGUGAUGGUUACGUCCUCCUGUGGAACAAGCUGCUUAAGCCGCCCAUCGUCGCUGCCGUGAACCCCAUGAGCUGGGCCGUGGACAUCAUCCCGGUGCCCCGCGAUGUCUGGGCUGGGAGGAGCGGGAGACGCCGCAACUUCGCCUUCCUUGGUUUCCACCUGUUGUCUACCGCUGAGAAGCCCUCCUCCUUCCGCGUGGUCCGCGUCUGCGCUGACAAGCAAAGGGUUCGUGUCGCCUUCUUCUCGCCGGAGACGAGGGAUUGGGUCAUCCACCCGUGGGUGUACAUCGGCGGUGACAACAACCUAAAGUCUAGCACUGGCACGCUGGUGGGUGGUUCCGUUUACCGGCCUUUUCAUGGCGAAGGGUGCAUGAUUAGGAUCAACGAAACCACCAUGGACUUCUCCAUUGUGGAUCUACCCUUGCAAAUAAAGGUGGGCGGAUCCAAUUUCAGGGCUGGGGAGACCAAGGACGACCGACUAUGCAUUGUCUAUGCAUCUGACGAUUUCCUCCUUCAUGUCUGGAUCCGUAGUGUGAAUGCUGAUGGAAUUGAGAUUUGGGUGUUGCAGAACAUAAUCUCUUUGAGUGUAAAAAUUGACAGGAUCAUUGGGGAGCGUGCUCUGGGCUUGCAGGCCCGCCUCACGGUUGUGCAAGUUAGGUCUGGAUAUGUGUACUUGUCCAUGACAUGCAUGACACCUGUCGGCACACUGCAUUGCUGGUUCUUCUCCCUUUCACCGGAGACGACGGACCUUGAGUUACUAGUCGUGGGAUGCUUUGAUGAUCGUCCCUGUCCGUAUAUUAUGGCCUGGCCUUCUUGUUUGGUUGGUGAUGAUGGGAGCAUUGAACAUGAAGUUGAAGGUUCUCAUUGA
This 1356-nucleotide ribosomal RNA is filed under the name Triticum aestivum (bread wheat). RNAcentral describes it as "partial small subunit ribosomal RNA". Lineage: Eukaryota; Viridiplantae; Streptophyta; Magnoliopsida; Poales; Poaceae. The record is from RNAcentral.